Non-coding RNA from Salmo salar (Atlantic salmon), 55 nucleotides. NCBI's taxonomy places the organism in Eukaryota, Metazoa, Chordata, Actinopteri, Salmoniformes, Salmonidae. The record is from Rfam.
UGCAUUCACUACUGUAAGUCACUCUGGAUAAGAGCGUCUGCUAAAAUGUAAUAAC